This 133-nucleotide microRNA precursor is filed under the name Picea abies (Norway spruce). RNAcentral's name for it is "miR947 stem-loop (pab-MIR947)". Its record names the gene pab-MIR947. The record is from miRBase by way of RNAcentral. Lineage: Eukaryota; Viridiplantae; Streptophyta; Pinopsida; Pinales; Pinaceae.
UGUUUUGUAUCGGAAUCUGUUACUGUUUCUUAGGCCUCAAGCAACUAUGGAAAUCCCUGGAAGCUGCUGCAUCAUACGCCUCAGACGCAGCAGCAGAUUCUGAUAGAAGACUCAGGCAACGCAUUUGUUGUUG